RNAcentral lists this ribosomal RNA (500 nucleotides) under uncultured Glomeromycotina. Its description in RNAcentral is "partial small subunit ribosomal RNA". It matches the Rfam family "Eukaryotic small subunit ribosomal RNA", at positions 591 to 1092 of the family's 1831-position model. The record is from RNAcentral. Lineage: Eukaryota; Fungi; Glomeromycota.
CCAAUAGCGUAUAUUAAAGUUGUUGCAGUUAAAAAGCUCGUAGUUGAAUUUCGGGAUCAAUAUAUCGGUCGUGCCUUCGGUACGUACUGGUAUCGUUGAUUUCUACCUUCUGACGAACCAUGAUGUCAUUAAUUUGGUGUCAUGGGAAAUCAGGACUGUUACUUUGAAAAAAUUAGAGUGUUUAAAGCAGGCACACGCUUGAAUACAUUAGCAUGGAAUAAUGAAAUAGGACGUUUGACCCUAUUUUGUUGGUUUCUAGGAUCGACGUAAUGAUUAAUAGGGAUAGUUGGGGGCAUUAGUAUUCAAUUGUCAGAGGUGAAAUUCUUGGAUUUAUUGAAGACUAACUACUGCGAAAGCAUUUGCCAAGGAUGUUUUCAUUAAUCAAGAACGAAAGUUAGGGGAUCGAAGACGAUCAGGUACCGUCGUAGUCUUAACCAUAAACUAUGCCGACUAGGGAUCGGAUGAUGUUAAUUUUUUAAUGACUCAUUCGGCGCCUUACG